AACGCACGAGACCUGCGGACCUGCGGAGGGAUCAUUACAGGACUCGCAAGACUCCUACAACCCUGUGAACUUAACUAUAAGCACGUUGCUUCGGCGGGUGUCUCGGCGAGGGUCCUCCCUCCCCGGGGCGCUAAGCCCGCCGGCAGCCUACUAUACUCUGUCUCUUUGCGUUGGCAUCUCGAGUACAAACAAACAAGUUAAAACUUUCAACAACGGAUCUCUAGAUCGGAAGAGCACACG
RNAcentral lists this unclassified non-coding RNA (240 nucleotides) under soil metagenome. RNAcentral's name for it is "partial contains 5.8S ribosomal RNA, internal transcribed spacer 2, and large subunit ribosomal RNA". The record is from RNAcentral.